ACUCCUACGGGAGGCAGCAGUGGGGAAUCUUGCGCAAUGGGCGAAAGCCUGACGCAGCCAUGCCGCGUGAAUGAUGAAGGUCUUAGGAUUGUAAAAUUCUUUCACCGGGGACGAUAAUGACGGUACCCGGAGAAGAAGCCCCGGCUAACUUCGUGCCAGCAGCCGCGGUAAUACGAAGGGGGCUAGCGUUGCUCGGAAUUACUGGGCGUAAAGGGAGCGUAGGCGGACAUUUAAGUCAGGGGUGAAAUCCCGGGGCUCAACCUCGGAAUUGCCUUUGAUACUGGGUGUCUUGAGUAUGAGAGAGGUGUGUGGAACUCCGAGUGUAGAGGUGAAAUUCGUAGAUAUUCGGAAGAACACCAGUGGCGAAGGCGACACACUGGCUCAUUACUGACGCUGAGGCUCGAAAGCGUGGGGAGCAAACAGGAUUAGAAACCCCGGUAGUCCCAUGA
RNAcentral lists this ribosomal RNA (449 nucleotides) under uncultured organism. RNAcentral's name for it is "partial 16S ribosomal RNA". It matches the Rfam family "Bacterial small subunit ribosomal RNA", at positions 335 to 800 of the family's 1533-position model. The record is from RNAcentral.